GCAGCGUGUGAAGGCAGAUUGGAUCGGUGGAUCGUGAGCUCUCCAUGCAUGCACCUGAUUAUUCACCAGAGGCUGGAUGGUGAUGGAUGGCGUGGAGUUCGAUCGGCUACUGCUGCUUGGUGUAGAUGGCUCGUUGCAGAUUGCCGGUGUCGAGGUAGCUGCGCGGAAGGUCCGACGUGGCUUGUCAUGUACCGUGUUCUCGGCCGGCCGGCGGCUUGAAGCACAGAUUCUGCUCUGAUUUUCACCUGGACGAGGGUAGCUGGAGACCAUAGGGUAUUUUCGUGGCCAAUAAAAAAGCUAAUGAAAUUUGGGAAUCAAGAAUUGAUCUAAUCUCUAUAAUACCGAUCUCAUCUACGAUGACCGGAAAACACUAAUUAACGAGGGAGUCCUCCAGGGAGAUUAUGGAGAUCGAUCUCCCCGGGGGCGGCAUGAUGCGGAAGGUGUGACCAAAGAUCGGCGACGUCCGUCUAACCGUUUUGAUACCAUGUAAAAUAUGACAUUGGAAGCUUAAUUGGUAUUUCACGAUAUUUGUUUUUUUUUUUAUCUGACCCUCGUAUGAGGUAUAUAUAGAGGUACAAGGAGGAGAUAGACUUGGAGUAUAAGACAAGCAAUAUCGUUUAAAUUGAUCCUAUCUUAUCUCUCUAACCCAACCAUAUUAUAUCUCUUACAGCAAAUAUGAGGCGCAGGCCACCGGCGGUGACCCACGGAGGCUGUGGGCGUC
RNAcentral lists this long non-coding RNA (721 nucleotides) under Brachypodium distachyon (stiff brome). RNAcentral's name for it is "long non-coding RNA (BDIS_LNC000474)". The record is from RNAcentral. Lineage: Eukaryota; Viridiplantae; Streptophyta; Magnoliopsida; Poales; Poaceae.